Molecule: ribosomal RNA, 253 nt
Filed under: uncultured bacterium
Lineage: Bacteria
Description: partial 16S ribosomal RNA
Rfam family: Bacterial small subunit ribosomal RNA
Source: RNAcentral
UACGGGGGGGGCAAGCGUUGUUCGGAAUUACUGGGCGUAAAGGGCUCGUAGGCGGCCAACUAAGUCAGACGUGAAAUCCCUCGGCUUAACCGGGGAACUGCGUCUGAUACUGGAUGGCUUGAGAUUGGGAGAGGGAUGCGGAAUUCCAGGUGUAGCGGUGAAAUGCGUAGAUAUCUGGAGGAACACCGGUGGCGAAGGCGGGUUGCUGGGCUGACACUGACGCUGAGGCGCGAAAGCCAGGGGAGCGAACGGG